UCAACCGUCCACUCUUCGUCUCUUAAUCUCUAAGUGCAGAUCUCCCUUACUCUCCCUUUCUUUCAAUUUUGUUUGGUGAUUGUGGGGUACCUAGGUUUCGGCCACUGGAAGUUUGUGGGUCCCCUUAAAUCGGUGUCGCCGACAACCAUCAUCAGAAACAUUGGAUUUAGCGCCGAACUCUGCCCAAGCGUAUUUCAGUUGCUGCCAACGUCUCUAUACUUCUCCCUUCCAUUGUACUCGAACUCAAACGUUUGGUUGUGAUACUGUUAGAGGUCAGACCCAAGGCAUAUCUUGUACAUGGAAGUCAGGUAAGCGGAGUUCAUAUACUAGUUUUGCAUAAAAUAAAUGAAAUGAGGUUGACUUUGAAAAUA
Molecule: long non-coding RNA, 371 nt
Organism: Juglans microcarpa x Juglans regia
Lineage: Eukaryota; Viridiplantae; Streptophyta; Magnoliopsida; Fagales; Juglandaceae
Exons: 3
Source: RefSeq, a predicted model, not a curated record